RNAcentral lists this ribosomal RNA (256 nucleotides) under uncultured bacterium. Its description in RNAcentral is "partial 16S ribosomal RNA". It matches the Rfam family "Bacterial small subunit ribosomal RNA", at positions 335 to 583 of the family's 1533-position model. The record is from RNAcentral.
AGUCCUACGGGAGGCAGCAGUAGGGAAUCUUCCACAAUGGACGAAAGUCUGAUGGAGCAACGCCGCGUGAGUGAAGAAGGGUUUCGGCUCGUAAAGCUCUGUUGGUAGUGAAGAAAGAUAGAGGUAGUAACUGGGCUUUAUUUGACGGUAAUUACUUAGAAAGUCACGGCUAACUAAGUGCCAGCAGCCGCGGUAAUACGUAGGUGGCAAGCGGUGUCCGGAUUUAUUGGGGGUAAAGCGAGUGAAGGCGGUUGCA